Long non-coding RNA from Leptopilina boulardi, 712 nucleotides. RefSeq lists it as uncharacterized. The transcript is spliced from 3 exons. NCBI's taxonomy places the organism in Eukaryota, Metazoa, Arthropoda, Insecta, Hymenoptera, Figitidae. The record is from RefSeq and is a predicted model, not a curated record.
UUUUAAAAUAAUUAAAGUAGAGUCUCAUCAUUUUCAUCGCUAUUUUAAUGUUUAUAUUUUUCUUUUGUUUUUUUAUAUCGUUUACACUGGCGGGGGAGUGUGUGGGGGUAUGCCUUGUGGAGUCCCCCUCUUCCCCCUCGUAGGUUGAUAGCGCGUGAGUGCGUGAGAAUUCGGGGAAUUAAAUAGAAGCUUAUCGUCUGUCGUCCGAGCUGGUUGCGUGUGUCAUGGCGGAUACCUGUCUUAUAUAUAAUUGGUAUUAAUUAAAUAAAUAUAAUCAGUGGUGAUAAUUAUAGUGUCUCAUUAUAUCUGCCCUUCAUAUAUGGAGUCUGUGUGAUCCACUACUAGGAUCCACACAAACAUAAAACUGGUUUAUCUUAAUGAGGAUGUAUCCAUAAACUCAGAAAUUUGGAACGCUAUCAAAAUACAGCGAAAAGAAAGCGUAUUCGUAAAAGACUUGGUGGUAGCAAUUUGGCGCGAAGGUCUUAAAGACAGAUGUUUUACAGGACGGGCAAGAGCACGAAGUGCAGGACAAAUUCGAAAAUCAUUCGAAGUAAAUAAGCUUGCCGCCAUAUACCAAGCUUUAUUCGAUCGCUUGGAGGAAAAAGGAAAACAGCCAGUGAUAAGGGAAUGUGAAGUUUUUGUUCACCGAAAAUUGACAGAAAAAGUGAACGAUCUAAACAAAGAUAAUUUGACGCCAGAAGAAAUUAUGGAG